Molecule: ribosomal RNA, 402 nt
Filed under: Bacteroidota bacterium
Lineage: Bacteria; Pseudomonadati; Bacteroidota
Description: Bacteroidetes bacterium partial 16S ribosomal RNA
Rfam family: Bacterial small subunit ribosomal RNA
Source: RNAcentral
UGGGGAAUUUUGCACAAUGGGGGAAACCCUGAUGCAGCGACGCCGCGUGAUUUAGAAGGCCUUCGGGUUGUAAAAAUCUUUUCUAUGGGAAGAAAAUGACAGUACCAUAGGAAUAAGGACCGGCUAAUUACGUGCCAGCAGCCGCGGUAAUACGUAAGGUCCGAGCGUUGUCCGGAUUCAUUGGGCGUAAAGGGUACGUAGGCGGGUAAGCAAGUUAGAAGUGAAAUCCUGUAGCUCAACUACAGUAAGCUUUUAAAACUGCUCAUCUUGAGAUAUGGAAGGGAAAGUGGAAUUCCUAGUGUAGCGGUGAAAUGCGCAGAUAUUAGGAGGAAUACCGGUGGCGAAGGCGACUUUCUGGCCAUAACCUGACGCUGAGGUACGAAAGCGUGGGUAGCAAACAGG